Molecule: ribosomal RNA, 268 nt
Filed under: uncultured bacterium
Lineage: Bacteria
Description: partial 16S ribosomal RNA
Rfam family: Bacterial small subunit ribosomal RNA
Source: RNAcentral
CCGGACCGGCGCACGGGUGAGUAACACGUAUGCAACCUGGCCGUCACAGGUGGAUAACCGGAAGAAAUUCCGACUAAUACAGCAUAACACUCCUGAGGGACAUCCUUCGGGAGUCAAAGGAGGCAACUCCGGUGACGGAUGGGCAUGCGGCGCAUUAGGUAGUUGGUAGGGUAACGGCCUACCAAGCCGACGAUGCGUAGGGGUUCUGAGAGGAAGGUCCCCCACAUUGGAACUGAGACACGGUCCAAACUCCUACGGGAGGCAGCAG